GAGAGAGAGAGACAAAAAGAAAGAAAGAAAGAAAGAGUUGUUAAAGCCAUACCCAAUGUUAUUAAAGCCACACCUCAAUGUUAUUAAAUCCACACCCCUUCUUACCAUUUCAUAAUUGAUGCCAUCUAUUUUCCAUCUCUAUCUCCCAUUCCCAACUCCAUACCUUUGUUUUUUUCCCUUGUUUUUUAUUUCUAUUUUCUUCCCUCUUGCUUUGUCUCUCGUCCAAAUUCUCUUCUCUCCUCCCUUCCUUCUC
This 253-nucleotide long non-coding RNA is filed under the name Physcomitrium patens. Its description in RNAcentral is "long non-coding RNA (PPAT_LNC007727)". Lineage: Eukaryota; Viridiplantae; Streptophyta; Bryopsida; Funariales; Funariaceae. The record is from RNAcentral.